GACGAACGCUGGCGGCGUGCUUAACACAUGCAAGUCGAACGGAAAGGCCUCUUUCGGGGGGUACUCGAGUGGCGAACGGGUGAGUAACACGUGAGUAACCUGCCCUUGACUUUGGGAUAACUUCAGGAAACUGGGGCUAAUACCGGAUAGGAGCUCCUGCUGCAUGGUGGGGGUUGGAAAGUUUCGGCGGUUGGGGAUGGACUCGCGGCUUAUCAGCUUGUUGGUGGGGUGGUGGCUUACCAAGGCUUUGACGGGUAGCCGGCCUGAGAGGGUGACCGGCCACAUUGGGACUGAGAUACGGCCCAGACUCCUACGGGGGGCAGCAGUGGGGAAUAUUGCACAAUGGGUGGAAGCCUGAUGCAGCAACGCCGUGUGCGGGAUGACGGCCUUCGGGUUGUAAACCGCCUUCGCUCAUGACGAAGCUUUGUGUGACGGUAGUGGGUAAAGAAGCACCGGCUAACUACGUG
RNAcentral lists this ribosomal RNA (467 nucleotides) under uncultured bacterium. Its description in RNAcentral is "partial 16S ribosomal RNA". It matches the Rfam family "Bacterial small subunit ribosomal RNA", at positions 28 to 507 of the family's 1533-position model. The record is from RNAcentral.